AAUUUGAUUUGUAUAACCAGGGUAAGAUGUGUGUUUCGUGGCACUUCAUUCCCUUGGUUAAUCUAGGGGGAAUCAAUGUUUUGGCAUAGCGAGUUCCUCGUUUUGCUCGGUGAAGCCACAAUACAAAUAGGCUGUUUUAUUCUAUACGUCACAUCUCAAUGAGAGCUAGCAAUUAGAUGAGUCUAAUGGUGUUCCUCUACUGAUUAAGCAGAGAAUUUGUCGAAUGUUUUCCGCUGAUGGCCAAGCAACUAUCAAUUUUAUCACAGAAGAUCGAAAGCAUCAUUUGGACGAAUAGGUUUUCCCUCAAAGAAAGUCAUUUGAACACAACUAUCAGGACGUUGUCGUUGAGGUUGGCUGAGUUACAAAGUUUCUAUCAGGCCCUGGAGGAAAGUAGAAAACUGAUGCAGUCAAGAAUUCGGCAGCAAGAAAAGGAGAACGAAACAAGCCUGAGAAUGAAGUAUCCCUAAGAACAAAUCUACCUCGUGUUUUAACAUUAACGGUUCCAUUCAUUUUUUCAUUCAUUUUAAGAAAAUAUUUCUCUUUGAAAAGAGGAAGUGAUUAGUCCUAUGCAUAGGAAGUAUGUUGUUGCAUGGCACUUCUAUUCCGUUCUAGUUUCAUCUUUUUAUCGCGUUCCAUCCUUUGAGUUCUGAUUGCCUCUGCUAACAAGCGUAAAGCGUGUUCAAACCCACUGUAAUAUCUUCAAACUCACAUCAUUUUAUAGACAAAUAUCGCCAAGAUGUAUUUGAUCGGGACUUUUUCCCUCGGAUGUAGGAUACGUGAUAAUAAAAUUGGUUAUCAUAAACAAUCGACGUCUCCUUUUCCUCAUUUUCUUAUUGUUUGGUGUUUUUCAAUUGUUUUAUGUAACUACUUGAUGUUGAGAAAUCUUUGUUCUUCUCUUAUCUUCAUUUCUUAUUUAAAAUUGACUCCAUAGAACGUUAACACGGAGUCACGUAAACAUGAAGUCACUUCCUUGCCUAUUAUCGCAUCGGGCUGUUCUUCUGCGAUAAGUGAGAGAACGCUCCACACGCUUAGCACCUUCUGUGAUAAUGUUUCUGGUCAUUGUUGAAGACUACAGGCAAAUAACAACGGCACCAUAGCCACUGUGAUCAUUAACAACUGCUAUAAAUCUUUCGUUAUUACCAUUGUCAAUAGAACAAGUAAAUAGCACACUAUAUUCUAGAACAACCCAAAACAACAACAAAUGGUACAAAAGAAAUGAAAGAUUAUUUCAAAACAAAAAUAUUGACAACAAUCUUUGGUGGUACAAAGUUUAAAAAUGGUAAUAAGGAAGUAAACAUUUUGAAACAAACUAGGGCAUCAAGAUUGGUGAUCAAUAAGGCAAGCGGCACUGAUUGGGCUACCUCAACAGUCAUAUGCUCACGUUUCUGAUCAGCCUUUUUUCGAUCCACAAUGGGUAUAUAUUUUUACUAGCUUAGAGUUUUCGAUCUAUUUUCCGACGUUUAAUACUCUGAUGAAUGUCAGAUGAAAAGCUUUAGUAUGUUUCAAAAUGUUUACUCUUUACAAAAUUUAGGCCGUUUGUUAUAGUUUGUCACAAGAAUCUUGUGGACAGCCUAUCUAGCGUCUCUUUUUGCAAACUUUUUGCCAAGGCUAUUAUUUUCUUGAAAAUCUUAAUGAUGAAGAAAUAUACUUGUCUAGAAUCGUUUUUAUGCUUCUCAGGCGUACUUCCAACCUUGACCAAGUUAAAAAUAAAAAUCUGCUGUCGAUUUGGCUUAAACCGUGUUUUUGAUUUGACCUUUCCUGCUGUUGUCGCGUACUAUUUUCAACAACAACUGCUAGUUAAUGUUCAAAUCUGCGAUCAGCACUAGUCAUAUCUUUUGUUCCUAAAAACUCAUCUACCUUAUCAGUCGCCUUGUGAUCGCAUAGUAAUAGUAAAGUACUUAGUAACAGCUUAGAACUUCCCUGUUCUACCCAUCUGUACAGUUCUGCCUUUACUGCAUCGACAAAUCGAUGCAAGACUGGUUUACAUUAAUUAAAUUUUUUUCAUUAUGCUCAAUUUUCUUAAAUCAUUUUGCAAUAAUUAAAGUAAGCAAGUAUAACUUAGUACUCUCUUUUAUCUCUUGGAACAUUUUCCUGUUAAAGUAUUAUCAGAAACAAUUUUUGGGUGUUUACAAGCUCAAUUUGCUAAUUGGCCUUGAAGACUGGUUGUCUCAGUCAUAUCUGGUUCACAUUACAAGUGCUGGCAAUGUUGCAUUGGAUCGCGUCAUGAUUAUAGGGAGUGUGUAUAUCGGAUCCAUAUUGGAGCAUAAGUGUAUUGGCUCCAAAUGCUCCAACCACAGUUAAUGGAAGUUUCUGAUUGAAUCGCAUUUCUAGUAUUUGAAUGUCUCUUGUCACUUUUUGGCUUGCGUGACUGAUUAGCUCGUAUCACCAGAACUUGAUUGCCUGAAAGGCUCAUAUCACAUGAAUUUGUUUGUCUGAUUGGAUCGAAUCACAAAUAUUUGAUUGUUUGGUAAGAUCGCAUUGCAAGUAAUUGACUGAUUAGCUCGUAUCACCAGAACUUGAUUGCCUGAUAGGCUCAUAUCACAUGAAUUUGUUUGUCUGAUUGGAUCGAAUCACUAAUAUUUGAUUGUUUGGUAAGAUCGCAUUGCAAGUAAUUGAAUGUCCGGUUCGCUCUUGUCAUGUUUUGGCUGGCCUGACCUAGUUCGCAUCACAAAAAUUUGAUUUUUUGUUUGGAUCGCACCAUGGGUACCUUUUUCGUUGAAUGUGUCACGAAACCAUACGUGAUCAACUGUACCAAAUUAUCAUAAACAGACUAGUUUUCAGUUUGUCCCUAGCUACGUUUGAUUUUUCACAUAUGCAGAUUCGAUGCAACGUAGCCAUGUUAUGUUACAUUGGCAUUUUAUUACAUUGGAAAAUAUCUCUAAAAGUCCUACGUAACCAAAAGACAAAAUAUCCCCGAAAACAAUUUCAUAGCUGAUCCAUGCCAAUUUCACUUUGUUACCCAGACCUCAAAGAAAUUUAGAGUGUGAUGUCUUUGAGAAAUGUUAUCGAUUUUUUUAUUUUUGAUAACAAAUCCGGCAAUAUUCUUGAAAGAACUGAGCUUCGCUGUUGAUUUGACCUAUCUCGUAGUUUUUAGAACCAAAUGAUAGUAAUCUUACGGAAAGAGCAUGUGCUCAUGAUGUCAUAUCCUAUUUGUAACACGUAACCCGUAGUCCCUAUUCUCCACCCCUCAAAUGAAUGCCCAAUUAAUCAUGUUUCAGAUCAAAUAACAACCGCCCUUUUCAACUUCCCUUAGAAAAACGCCCCCGUCGUAGAAGCCGUCUGUUAAAAAAUGUAGAGAAAGUAAACAGGAUAACGUAAAUCUUUGCUGGUUUUUUAUGGAACUGAUAACGUCGUGGCAAUGAAUUCAAGAGAAAAAAUUUGUCUUUCAUGAAAUCAUGCAUUGGCUGUUUAUGGCUUGGAAGAUACACUUAUUUCUUGUCUCAACGAAGAAAUGCUCUAGUGGAUCAUGUCGACACUAACCAUGAGCCCCGACAAAGGUUGAAAAGUGGGGGGGGCCAAGGAAA
This is a non-coding RNA of Rhopilema esculentum, 3524 nucleotides long. The record is from RefSeq and is a predicted model, not a curated record. NCBI's taxonomy places the organism in Eukaryota, Metazoa, Cnidaria, Scyphozoa, Rhizostomeae, Rhizostomatidae.